This 851-nucleotide unclassified non-coding RNA is filed under the name Hevea brasiliensis (rubber tree). The record is from RNAcentral. Lineage: Eukaryota; Viridiplantae; Streptophyta; Magnoliopsida; Malpighiales; Euphorbiaceae.
AUCUAUAUGACCCGGCAUAUUAUUGAGAAAUAUAUAGUUGCAGGUGCAGCAACAGAGGUGAACAUAUCUCACCGAACGCGGCAAGAAAUAUUGACUACAGUUGAUCUAGCACACCCUGAUCUCUUUAAUAAUGCAAUAAAUGAGGUGCUGCAGCUAAUGAAAAUGAAUUUAGCAAAAGAUUACUGGACAUCCAUGUUUUUCAUCAAAUUCAAAGAAGAAGCCAAUAUGAGAUCCAAUGACCAUGACCUGGAACAGAUGGCAGGUUGGAACUUCUCUCCUAGAUUGAGUUCUGUACAUGGCACUGAUGAUCCAUUCCAUCAAGAACAUCUUGUGAAGGGCAUUGAUUCAGACACAAAAAGCCAAGAAUUGUGAAUAUUGUGCUGGUUUACUGCAAAGUUGAUUCAGGGAUUGAGCAUGGCAUACCAAGUGUAACAAGUGAUGCAUAAUGAACCCUCAACAUAAGAUUCAAAGUAUGAUGAAAUGAAAACAAAAGAAGUGAAAAAGGAUGAAUAGAGAGAAGAAGGAGGUGAACUGCCUAUUGAGGUGGGAAAUUAAUGCAUCUACUACAUUUAUACAGACAUGACCAUGUUAAGUGUCAUUGCUCAAUGUUAUACAGGCAAAAAUGUUCAUUUUGUUAGUGGGGCCGGCCUCAGCAUGACCACAUUGAUUUAAUCUGAACAGUGACACUUGAAAGUAAAGUAACCCAUCUCCCCAAUUUACUUCCAGGAUUUUCAUGUAGUCCAGUAGAAAGUUAUUAGAUAGAUGCAUGGACUCUGGUGGCAGACAAGUCUUGUUUUGAUUAGACAUACGUUCAUGUUAAAUACUAUUUACUCUUUUGGAGGGAAAGUGCC